CUUAAUAUAGUAUAAUUAUUACAUUAUCCUUUCACGAUAAAAAGGGGUAGUUUCUACCCUAUUAAGA
RNAcentral lists this transfer RNA (67 nucleotides) under Vargula hilgendorfii (sea firefly). Its description in RNAcentral is "tRNA-Glu". The record is from RNAcentral. Lineage: Eukaryota; Metazoa; Arthropoda; Ostracoda; Myodocopida; Cypridinidae.